Molecule: ribosomal RNA, 279 nt
Filed under: Anastrepha pallens
Lineage: Eukaryota; Metazoa; Arthropoda; Insecta; Diptera; Tephritidae
Description: partial 16S ribosomal RNA
Source: RNAcentral
UAAAUAAAUUAAAUUUACAAAUUUUUAAUUUUUAAUUUUUUUGAAAAAAUUAAAAAUUUAUUAAUUUGAAUAUUUUAAGGGAUAAGCUUUAAAAUAAAAUAUUAAAAUUAUUUUAAUAAUUAAUUUAAAAUGUAUGUGUAGAAUUAGCAAUCAUUUGUAAAUUUGUUAUAAAUUAUUAAUAUUAUUUAUUAUUUAUUUAUUUUUUAAUUAAUUUAUGAAAAUUUUUUUAUUAAUUUUAAAUAAAAAUUAAUAAUGAUUUAAUUAGUAUAUAAGUAUUGU